GCCCUCGGUGGCUCAGCUGGAUAGAGCGUCUGUUCUGUAAGCAGAAGAUCACGGGUUCGAGUCCCGGUCGGGGCA
Molecule: non-coding RNA, 75 nt
Organism: Schistocerca americana (American grasshopper)
Lineage: Eukaryota; Metazoa; Arthropoda; Insecta; Orthoptera; Acrididae
Source: the annotation of a RefSeq genome assembly